GUGCUUGGCCAUAUCAAGACAUCAAUGACCCAAAUGUCAGUAAGUACCAAUAAUUUUGUGGAAUCUUAUCUAACUAAUUGAGAUAGGACUAGGAGUGCCAAAUAAUUAACUAAUUGAACUAAUAGUACUUUUUCUUGGGAGGGAAUACUAAGUUAUGUUUGAUUUUUUCUUUUUCGAUUUGAUGUUUGAUUUUUAGAGAUUAAAGAAUUAUACUUCAGC
Molecule: long non-coding RNA, 219 nt
Filed under: Trifolium pratense (red clover)
Lineage: Eukaryota; Viridiplantae; Streptophyta; Magnoliopsida; Fabales; Fabaceae
Description: long non-coding RNA (TPRA_LNC005059)
Source: RNAcentral